This 945-nucleotide small RNA is filed under the name Oryza sativa Japonica Group (Japanese rice). RNAcentral describes it as "misc RNA Os08g0399600". Lineage: Eukaryota; Viridiplantae; Streptophyta; Magnoliopsida; Poales; Poaceae. The record is from RNAcentral.
UUUUAUAUCUCAUCAAACUUGCAGGCUUCUUCUUUAGCAAAGUUGGCUUUAUCAGCAAGGGAUCCUGGUGAAUUGGUUUUUCCUUUUGGUCCUGACUAUUUGGAGGUAUGAAGUUAUCCAUAUAUUAAUUUGGGUUAUGGCGCAUUUAUUGUGUAAUUUAUAGAAGCACCACCAAUUUUACCAGUAAUUGAUUGACUCGUCAUUUUACAAAUUUGAAACCAACUGAUCUAAGUCUUCAUUAAGUUCCAUUUCAUGUAAAAUUCUACUUUAACAGGUGCUGUGAUCAAUCUCAUGUUAUCUUUUCAAUAAUGGUGUAUCUGUAUUUAAGCCCACUACACACUACCUUUUCAAAUAGUAUGGAUUCAGUGUGCUGUACUGAUAGAGAUAUUAAGAUACUUGUGAUCAUAUUUAUGUAACACCCACCACACAGCUGCAAGAGCAUCCAGCCAUCCACCUGACUAAAUCACCACCACGACCACCACCACCCCCAAGCCAAUCCAGUCGGGGAUGGUUGAUACGCGAUUGGUCGCGCGCCGGCACACCCGCGCGACCAGCGCUACCCAUCUAGUCUCAGUAUUUAUACGUUUGUAUAUAUACCACAAUACAAAGUUUAUACGCAUGUAUAUGAGGUAUAUAUACAUACGUAUAUAGACGAUAAAAUAUGUGUAAACUUUGUAUAUAUACCCUACAUUUUUUAUAUGUAUACGCAUACACUUUUGAUGUAUAAAAAAUAUGUAUACAUGUAUACAAAGUUUGUAUACAACGUAUACAAAAUAUACAAACUUUGUAUACAUACGUAUACAAAGUUUAUAUACGUAUGUAUAAAAAAGGAAAAAAUAUACAUGUAUACAAACUUAGUAUAUGUGUAUACAUAGUUUGUAUAACAAACCGAAAAAAAAAACCCGAAAAAGUGAAAAAGAAACAGAAAAAAAAGGAAAGAAACAG